UACCAUAAACCAUUAAGAAGGUCAGUACUUAUUACAUGGACUGCAAUGCUUUAAAAUAAGAAAAUGUUUAACUUUUUUUAGACUAAUUAGUGGCAGCAGCAGGUGGAGCUAAUUAAGGUAAAUGUUUGCAGGGAAGUGACUAAGAUAUGUGGAGUAGAAAUGUCCAGACAGUCCAAAACUCAAAAACCAAAUUAUGACAAUUAAUUAGAAGCAUAAAAGUGAACUGCAGCUCCAUGAGAGGAUGAUGGAGACUAAGAUACAAAAUAACUUUGUCCCACGAUGGGAAAUUCAAGACUUCUGACAUGUCAUAAAAGCAGAAGCAGAAACACACAUUGUAGGGUAUAAAGUCAGUCUCUGUUCUCAUUAACAGUUCCCCUUCAGCCUUCAUCUGAUGUUGAUGUUAAAACUUUUACAACAUGGACAGAAAAGCACAAAAAAGUCUGGAUGGUUCGUCUGAGAAGAACCCAAAUGUUUCUUCAUCUGCAGAGAAAACUGAAGAAGCUGACUAUAUCAAUGUAGAUAAAGUUGCUGUGAAGAACAUCACAUCUAUUCCAGGUCACCAGUUUCCUUACUUCUCAAAGUUUUUCCCACUACUAGCAUCUUAUUGGCUGAUUCUGCUGGUCGUUAUCCCGCUUCAUAUCCACUUUCACCUUAUUGCUCAGUUUGAGCUGAAACAGCUGAGAGUCAACCAAACAUUGCUGCUGGAGGAAAAUUACAAUCUGACGACAGAACUUGAUAAAGUGAUGAAUAAAACCCAGCAGCUACAGACAGAAGAAAAUCCUCACAGAACAAAUAGAAACUAUGGAGAAAACUUGGAAUGAGCAGAACAUCAGUCGAGCUCAGUGGAGCAUUGAUGAAUACUGUCCUAAAGGAAAUAAUGGUAUGAUUAGAUCUUAGACCAUCUAAGUCCAAAAAUAACUAAUUAUAACAUUAUGGAUGAUAACUACUGUUUGAAUGCUUUGGUUUCAGGGAGAAGUUGCACUUCGUGCCAGGAUGGAUGGAAAGAACAAUUUUCCAGCUGUUAUGCAUGUCAUGACGCUAAGCCCUCUGAUCAGAGAAACUGGGAAGGUGCACGAGAGCAUUGCUGGGCGAAGAACUCAGAUUUGACUGUUGUGUUUGAUCAAACAGAAAAGGUGAUGAGAACUGUGGAACAAUUUCAAUUGAUUGAAAAAGUUUACAGACUAAAUAAAGCCUACCUCCCAUGUUUAAUGGGUGGAUGCCUACUUAUCUUUAACAGUGCACGUAGAAACAGAAAGUCAUGUGAAAAUUUUAACUUGUCUGAUUUUUUGACGUUCUCCUCAGGAUUAUGUCAAUACAUGGAGUCCAGCUAUAGAAGGCAUCCAAGGAUACUGGAUUGGCCUCAGAGCUGAAGGAGGAAAAUGGAGAUGGAUUGAUGGAAGUGAUCUGACCAAUCAGUGAGAGACACAUUAUUUCUUAAACUUUGUAGAAAACAAAUCUAUCAGCCUUGAUCUAACAGAUGUUUUUCCUUAGAGCCUGGAUACAGCAGCCGCCUGUUGAUGGUCAGUGUGUAACUUCUCUCCAGGGCAGAGAAUGGAGAUCAGUGAGCUGUAAUGAAACAAACGGAUGGAUCUGUGAGAAGAAGGCUUUAUCUGUUUAGACAUGAAAUAUUCUGAACCUGUCCUACAUGCAAAUAAACAAAAAGCUUCACAGAUCUCUUAUGUAAACAUUUGCAGUUUUUUUUAAAACAAAAUAGCUCACACUGUAAAAUAGCUUUUUAAAUACAUCUCAUAAUUAUUGUAACACAUGUAGAGCUAUUAACUUAACACCAUCAUUUAGAAAAAGUUUUAGUGGCACAGAACAGCUGUUUAUAUAAAAAUAGUUUGUAGUUUUGAGUUUUUUCUGAUUAUUUUGAGCUGCAAUAUUUACAGUUUAUUAAUAGAUUCAUGAAAAACAGACAUGAUUUACUUGAUGAUUAAUGUUUCAUGAACUUUUUGCUGAUAGUUUUUGAAUGAAUUUUAAUUAUUAUGAUUUUAGGAUCCCCACUUUGUGUUUAACUUUCUUUCAUGGUUAGGAUCCUCAGUAUCCAUAUUUAGAUGCAGCUGCUUGUCUAAAGA
Molecule: long non-coding RNA, 2075 nt
Organism: Fundulus heteroclitus (mummichog)
Lineage: Eukaryota; Metazoa; Chordata; Actinopteri; Cyprinodontiformes; Fundulidae
Exons: 4
Source: RefSeq, a predicted model, not a curated record